GUUUGAACUGAGGAUCUGUGGGGUCCAAUGCAAAGAGGUGUGAUUUAAAGAGAGAUGAAAACCGUGGAUCUUCAUAAUCUAUAGUUGGCAACUUGUCCUCUACUGGAGUUCCUUUACCCUUCUUCCCCUUCGCCUUUUUAGGUUUCAUGUUGUAACCCUUCAAGUUAGGGUCUCCUCCUUUGUCAUCUGCAAGUAAUAGCUCAAGCUCUGCUCUACUUGCUUCAGCUUCUUCAGAUGCUUCAAGGCUCUGCUUCCCUUUCCUGGUGCUCUUACGUUGGGAAUCCUUAUCCCCUUUUGCGGAAGGCUCUUCAAUGAAGAAGUCCUCAGGUUCAUCUAUAGGUUCUUGAUCACUAUCGCUGCUCUCAUCUUCUGAUGAAUCCUUGGUGUUACCUUUCCUGGACUUCUUUUUCUCCCUUUUCUUUCUGAGAUAAGCUUCCCACACAGUUUCCGACUGUUUAUCCUUCUUUUCUAGGAUACGUUUGCUUAGAUCUUCCAAUCCAGUGUUAAAUGUGACCUCCAUGUCCUGGUCAUCGUCCUCGUUAUUUCCAUCUGAACCCUCCCCAGACUGGAGUAACGCACGGUAGGUAUCAUGUUUUUUCUUCCUUUUGGCAGAUUUAUCUUCUGUGUCAUCAUCACCUUCCUCACUAUCAUCACUUCCACUCUCAUCAGAAGCCAAAAACUCUUUCAACUCCAUAUCUGCAAGCUGUUUAUCAUUG
This 716-nucleotide unclassified non-coding RNA is filed under the name Hevea brasiliensis (rubber tree). Lineage: Eukaryota; Viridiplantae; Streptophyta; Magnoliopsida; Malpighiales; Euphorbiaceae. The record is from RNAcentral.